Molecule: transfer RNA, 76 nt
Filed under: Stanieria sp.
Lineage: Bacteria; Bacillati; Cyanobacteriota; Cyanophyceae; Pleurocapsales; Dermocarpellaceae
Also listed under: 1 other name
Description: tRNA-Trp
Rfam family: tRNA
About the family: Transfer RNA (tRNA) molecules are approximately 80 nucleotides in length. Their secondary structure includes four short double-helical elements and three loops (D, anti-codon, and T loops).
Source: RNAcentral
UGCGUCCUUAGUUCAGUUGGUAGAACGUCGGUCUCCAAAACCGAAUGUCGGGGGUUCAAGUCCUCCAGGGCGCGUC